AGCGGUGAAAUGCAUAGAUAUUACAUAGAAUACCGAUUGCGAAGGCAGUCUACUAACUGUACACUGACGCUAAUGGACGAAAGCGUGGGGAGCGGACAGGAUUAGAUACCCUGGUAGUCCACGCCGUAAACGAUGGUCACUAGUUGUUGGGGUCUUGUACCUCAGUGAUUAAGAGAAAUUGAUAAGUGACCCACCUGGGGAGUACGAUCGCAAGAUUGAAACUCAAAGGAAUUGACGGGGGCCCGCACAAGCGGUGGAGCAUGUGGUUUAAUUCGAUGAUACGCGAGGAACCUUACCAGGGCUUAAAUGUAAGUUGCAUGAUUUAGAGAUAGAUCUUUCUUCGGACUACUUACAAGGUGCUGCAUGGUUGUCGUCAGCUCGUGCCGUGAGGUGUCAGGUUAAGUCCUAUAACGAGCGCAACCCCUACCGUUAGCUGCCAGCAUGUUAUGAUGGGGACUCUAGCGGGACUGCCGGUGCAAACCGAGAGGAAGGUGGGGAUGACGUCAAAUCAUCACGGCCCUUACGUCCUGGGCUACACACGUGCUACAAUGGUAACGACAGAGGGCAGCCACCCC
RNAcentral lists this ribosomal RNA (575 nucleotides) under uncultured bacterium. RNAcentral's name for it is "bacterial SSU rRNA". It matches the Rfam family "Bacterial small subunit ribosomal RNA", at positions 677 to 1256 of the family's 1533-position model. The record is from RNAcentral.